Molecule: small nuclear RNA, 281 nt
Filed under: Chinchilla lanigera (long-tailed chinchilla)
Lineage: Eukaryota; Metazoa; Chordata; Mammalia; Rodentia; Chinchillidae
Description: 7SK RNA (ENSCLAG00000021816.1)
Rfam family: 7SK RNA
About the family: 7SK was discovered as an abundant small nuclear RNA in the mid-70s but a possible function has only recently been suggested.
Source: Rfam by way of RNAcentral
GGGUGUGAAGGCGAUCUGGCUGCAACAUCCGUCCCCCACUGACCACCCUGGCUGGUCUGGCUGGCCAGGCGGUGUCCCCCUCCUCCCUCACCGCUCCACGUGUCCCUCCUGAAGCUGCACUUGCUCGGUGGAAGGGGACGACCACCCCUGAUAGAGGAGGACCAUCUCCUGAGUUACGGGUAGCUGCGCUCCCUGCUGGAACCUCCAAACAAGGACUCGACUGGGACCCCCAGGCCCGGCACAGCCCCAGGCCUCAGAAAAGAGAAACUUGAUUUGUCCUU